Molecule: ribosomal RNA, 252 nt
Filed under: uncultured bacterium
Lineage: Bacteria
Description: partial 16S ribosomal RNA
Rfam family: Bacterial small subunit ribosomal RNA
Source: RNAcentral
UACGGGGGGGCAAGCGUUGUUCGGAAUUACUGGGCGUAAAGCGCACGUAGGCGGAUUUGUAAGUCAGGGGUGAAAUCCCGGGGCUCAACCUCGGAACUGCCUUUGAUACUGCAAAUCUCGAGUCCGGAAGAGGUGAGUGGAAUUCCUAGUGUAGAGGUGAAAUUCGUAGAUAUUAGGAAGAACACCAGUGGCGAAGGCGGCAUUCUGGACCGAUAUUGACGCUGAGGAGCGAAAGCCAGGGGAGCAAACGGG